This 468-nucleotide ribosomal RNA is filed under the name uncultured bacterium. RNAcentral describes it as "partial 16S ribosomal RNA". It matches the Rfam family "Bacterial small subunit ribosomal RNA", at positions 28 to 507 of the family's 1533-position model. The record is from RNAcentral.
GAUGAACGCUGGCGGCGUGCCUAAUACAUGCAAGUCGAACGGAAAGGCGCUGCUUUUGUUGGGUGCUCGAUUGGCGAACGGGUGAGUAACACGCGUGUAAACUCCCCUUGUCUUUGGGAUAACUUCACGAAACUGGGGCUAAUACCGGAUAGGAGCUCCUGCUGCAUGGUGGGGGUUGGAAAGUGUCGGCGGUUGGGGAUGGUUUCGAGGCUUAUGAGCUGGUUUGUGGGGUAGUGGCGUACCAAGGCUUUGACGGCUAGCCCGCCUGGGCGGGUGACCGGCCACAUUGGGACUGAGAUAGGGCCCAGACUCCAACGGGAGGCAGCAGGGGGGAAUAUUGCGGAGUGGGCGGACGCGUGAUGCGGCGACGCCGCGUGCGGGAUAACGGCUUACGGGUUGUAAACCGCUUUCGAAUGUGACGUAGCGUGAGUGACGGUAAUGAGUAAGGAAGCAACGGCUAACUACGUG